Molecule: ribosomal RNA, 620 nt
Filed under: Hansenula anomala
Lineage: Eukaryota; Fungi; Ascomycota; Saccharomycetes; Phaffomycetales; Wickerhamomycetaceae
Description: Wickerhamomyces anomalus partial large subunit ribosomal RNA
Rfam family: Eukaryotic large subunit ribosomal RNA
Source: RNAcentral
UUGCAUAUCCAAAAAGCGGAGGAAAAGAAACCAACAGGGAUUGCCUCAGUAACGGCGAGUGAAGCGGCAAAAGCUCAAAUUUGAAAUCUAGCACCUUCGGUGUUCGAGUUGUAAUUUGAAGAUGGUAACCUUGGGUUUGGCUCUUGUCUAUGUUCCUUGGAACAGGACGUCAUAGAGGGUGAGAAUCCCGUCUGAUGAGAUGCCCAUUCCUAUGUAAGGUGCUAUCGAAGAGUCGAGUUGUUUGGGAAUGCAGCUCUAAGUGGGUGGUAAAUUCCAUCUAAAGCUAAAUAUUGGCGAGAGACCGAUAGCGAACAAGUACAGUGAUGGAAAGAUGAAAAGAACUUUGAAAAGAGAGUGAAAAAGUACGUGAAAUUGUUGAAAGGGAAGGGCAUUAGAUCAGACUUGGUGUUUUACGAUUAUCUUCUCUUCUUGAGUUGUGCACUCGUAUUUCACUGGGCCAGCAUCGAUUCGGAUGGCAAGAUAAUGGCAGUUGAAUGUGGCUUCACUUCGGUGGAGUGUUAUAGCUUCUGCUGAUAUUGCCUGUCUGGAUCGAGGGCUGCGUCUUUUGACUAGGAUGCUGGCGUAAUGAUCUAAUGCCGCCCGUCUUGAACAACGGACCA